GCGGGUAUUGUUUAAUGGAUAAAAUUUAUUCUUGCCAAGGAUAAGAUGCGGGUUCGAUUCCCGCUACCCGCCC
This 73-nucleotide transfer RNA is filed under the name Taxus cuspidata (Japanese yew). RNAcentral describes it as "tRNA-Gly". It matches the Rfam family "tRNA". From Rfam's summary of the family: Transfer RNA (tRNA) molecules are approximately 80 nucleotides in length. Their secondary structure includes four short double-helical elements and three loops (D, anti-codon, and T loops). The record is from RNAcentral. Lineage: Eukaryota; Viridiplantae; Streptophyta; Pinopsida; Cupressales; Taxaceae. RNAcentral also lists the same sequence under 2 other names.